GAUGAACGCUGGCGGCGUGCCUAAUACAUGCAAGUCGAGCGAACGGACGAGAAGCUUGCUUCUCUGAUGUUAGCGGCGGACGGGUGAGUAACACGUGGAGAACCUACCUAUAAGACUGGGAUAACUUCGGGAAACCGGAGCUAAUACCGGAUAAUAUUUUGAACCACAUGGUUCAAAAGUGAAAGACGGUCUUGCUGUCACUUAUGGAUGGAUCCGGGCUGCUUUAGCUAUUUGGUAAGGUAACGGCCUACAAAGGCAACGAUGCAUAGCCGACCUGAGAGGGGGAUCGGCCACACGGGAACUGAGACACGGUCCAGACUCCUACGGGAGGCAGGAGGAGGGAAUCUUCCGCAAUGGGCGAAAGCCUGACGGAGCAACGCCGCGUGAGUGAUGAAGGUCUACGGAUCGUAAAACUCUGUUAUUAGGGAAGAACAGAUGGUAAGUAACUGUGCACAUCUUGACGGUACCUAAUCAGAAAGCCACGGCUAACUACGUG
This 496-nucleotide ribosomal RNA is filed under the name uncultured bacterium. RNAcentral describes it as "partial 16S ribosomal RNA". It matches the Rfam family "Bacterial small subunit ribosomal RNA", at positions 28 to 507 of the family's 1533-position model. The record is from RNAcentral.